This 296-nucleotide long non-coding RNA is filed under the name Parus major (Great Tit). RNAcentral describes it as "lncRNA (ENSPMJG00000003994.1)". The record is from RNAcentral. Lineage: Eukaryota; Metazoa; Chordata; Aves; Passeriformes; Paridae.
GACUUACAUAGUGAUUUCUUGAAACCUUUUCAAUAUGACAUUCUAAUUCCUUAAAGUCAAGGAAACUUUUGCUGAAGACUGCCUUACCCAGAGACCACCUUAUCAGCGACACAAAAUUGCUGAGAAGAGUCAGUGUAAUUAAAAUCAACUAACGGCCAGCUCGGGGAAGAGAGGGAGCAUGGCUCUUCCUACCUGUUGACAUGUCCCUGCCUGGAAAGUCCACCUGCAAACAUGUAAGAGGACAGUGGUAUUCACAUAUUUUUGCCUGCAAGACCAUGCUGGGUGACUGAAAGCAU